CAUAGGUUUGGUCCUGGCCUUCUUAUAAAUUUUUAGCAAAACUACACAUGCAAGACUCCCCAUACCUGUGAGAAUACCCUUAGUAUCUUAAACUGAUAUAAAGGAGUGGGUAUCAAGCACACUAUAUAGUAGCUAAAGACAUCUUGCCCAGCCACACCCCCACGGGAUACAGCAGUGAUUAAAAUUAAGCCAUGAACGAAAGUUUGACUAAGUUAUGCUAUUUAGAGUUGGUAAAUUUCGUGCCAGCCACCGCGGUUAUUCGAUUAACUCAAGUUAAUAGCAUUCGGCGUAAAGCGUGUUAUAUUUAUAAGAUAAGAUUAAAGUUAAGCUAUAACUAAGCCGUAAAAAGCCAUAGUUAGUAUAAAAAUAAACAACGAAGGUGACUUUAUAAGUCUAGAUUACACGACAGCUAGAUCCCAAACUGAGAUUAGAUACCUCACUAUGUCUAGCCGUAAACUUAAACUAUUAAAUUCAACAAAAUAGUUCGCCCGAGAACUACUAGCAACAGCUUAAAACUCAAAGGACUUGGCGGUGCUUUAUAUCCAUCUAGAGGAGCCUGUUCUAUAAUCGAUAAACCCCGCUUUACCUUACCACAUCUUGCUAAUUCAGCCUACAUACCGCCAUCUUCAGCAAACCUUAACAAAGAAAAAAAGUAAGCACAAGCAUUUACCAUUAAAACGUUAGGUCAAGGCGUAGCUUAUGAGGUGGAAAGUAAUGGGCUACAUUUUCUGUUUACAGAACAAAUUUAUACGCUAUCUCUUAUGAAACCUAAGAGACAAAGGCGGAUUUAGUAGUAAAUUAAGAUUAGAGAGCUUAAUUGAAUUGAGCAAUGAAGCGCGCACACACCGCCCGUCACCCUCCUCAAGUUAUCAUGUGAAUUUACAAUAUAUAAUUAAACCCACAACACGGUAUUAGAGGAGACAAGUCUUAACAAGGUAAGCAUACUGGAAAGUUUGCUUGGAACAAU
Molecule: non-coding RNA, 967 nt
Filed under: Pedetes capensis (springhare)
Lineage: Eukaryota; Metazoa; Chordata; Mammalia; Rodentia; Pedetidae
Description: 12S ribosomal RNA
Rfam family: Microsporidia small subunit ribosomal RNA
Source: RNAcentral